GAUUCGCACAUGUAGUUUUUCAACGAGAGAGGCGAACGUGCAGGUCUAUGCAGAAACCCAUAUUUUACCAAGGAUUUGUUUACAAACAAGGCACAAUUCGACAAGGGAUUUACAAAAGAUUAAAACUAAAAGAAGGCGCUUGAAUUACAUGAAGUUCAGCAGCUGGUGUACUAUCAGCAGCAACGAGUAGCAGCCCUAUGGUGACCCCGCUUUAGGCCCGUCAUGCUGCUAAAUCGGACCUCUGAUUAGCUCCACGCCUCUGAAAUGACAGCUGUACUGGAUACAGAUCCGUUGCACUGGAAUGAAGGUAUGGCAGUAUAUUCAGUAGUGGAAACAGUGAACUGUGCCAAUAGGAAGAGUUUGAUCCUAAGCAAGAUACUGGAGACACCAUCAACACACACUGUGCUUAAUAUAGCAACUGACAUACAGCGAUACAUACCUCUCUGUUUCUCCUCAAAUAUCACAGGUCUGUUCCCCCCGAGGGGCUUCAGGUUGGGUGUGCAGCAACAUGGCAUUCUGUUCUUCAACUUGUACUCUUCAUUUCCCUCUCCCCAUCUUUAACCUGUCCUCCUGUCUCCGCCUCCAGUCUCUGUCCUUGGCAGAGCAGUGUGUGGUAAUCCUAUUACUCUUGUGCGAAAACCAGCUGAGAGAAAGAGAGGGAGAUGGAGAGAGAGGGAUUAUCAGUUCUCUGUUAUAGUGGUGAGCAGACAAAAAGCACUUUAAUCUAUGGAACAUGACCCUAAAGACUGAGAGAAGAAUACAGGGAGGAGAGAGGAGGGGCGCUAAAGGGAAAUGAUGGGACUCCUGACAGUUGGAGCGCCAAACUUGAAAAUAAAC
Molecule: long non-coding RNA, 837 nt
Organism: Cyprinus carpio carpio
Lineage: Eukaryota; Metazoa; Chordata; Actinopteri; Cypriniformes; Cyprinidae
Source: Ensembl